UGGAUGUCUAGGGUCUGAAGGCCAGG
This 26-nucleotide non-coding RNA is filed under the name Rattus norvegicus (Norway rat). Lineage: Eukaryota; Metazoa; Chordata; Mammalia; Rodentia; Muridae. The record is from RNAcentral.